UAACAGCUUUCCCCUAUCAUUUUAAAACUAAAACAAUUUCCAAUUAUAGUCCCAUCUUACUCACUUUUCUUAAUAUUCUCAAUCAAUCAAUCUUUAUUACGGUCAGAGACCCAACAAAUCAUUACAAAUCAAUACACAAUUCCUACAGCCUAUUAUAUUCUAAAUCCCAUUAUUUAAUUAUAACUUAAUCCUAGGUCUAUUUAUUUCUUUCAAUUAAUUUCUAAUUUUUAUAUUACAAUAUUUAUUCAAAUAGUGCUUAAAUUUCCUUCCAGUCCUCUUGAAACUCCUCUUCUUUCUGGUCUCGGAUUCUUGCAGUCAGGUCAGCUAGCUCCGAAAAAGUUCCAUCAUCUUCAUCUGGCCAAUCUUCCACUGUUGGUAGUCCUUGUGUUCAUUAUCCACCCUCUCUACUUUAUUUCCUGAUUGCAUCGACAUCCUUUUCUAUGCCAGCCUUCUUUAUAUCUACUUCAACCAAGUUGCAUUCCAGCUUUCUGGAAAGGAAACAAGCAAAAACCCCAAUCUAUUGCAGAAUUGCGUCUUCCAACAAACAGAGCUUCUCUUUUGCAAGACGUUUGGAAGUGAGAACUACAAAUCCCAGCAUCCAUUGCGAGGAGAGGGGCAUCCAUAUGGUUCUUCCCUUCCCUACACUUCCGGUCUGGUUUGCAAGGAGUCUUAAUUUCGCAGCUGGGUUGUUUUGUCUGUUUCUGGGAGCGAUCACUGGUUUUACAGGUUGCUUUGCGUUUGGAACAAAAGGGGUCGAGAUUCUGCCAGUCAUUUCCGCCAGUUCCAUAUAGUCCAUCACCUUCAUCUGCCAUUCUUCCAGGGUAGGUAAAUCUUGUGUCUUCCAAUACUUUGCAAUAAGUACUCUCACUGCUGUUGUAGCAUACAUAAAGAAAGUUCUAUCCUUCUUUGGCACCAAUUGGCCGACCAUGCCCAGGAGAAAGGCCUCUGGUUUCUUCAGGAAGGACUCCCCCUAUUCUGGAUCCGUUGCCCCCGCAAUGGAACUGUCACCCCCAAAACCGUG
Molecule: long non-coding RNA, 1021 nt
Filed under: Podarcis muralis (Common wall lizard)
Lineage: Eukaryota; Metazoa; Chordata; Lepidosauria; Squamata; Lacertidae
Description: lncRNA (ENSPMRG00000018552.1)
Source: RNAcentral